Leptonychotes weddellii (Weddell seal) is the source of this 528-nucleotide long non-coding RNA. RefSeq lists it as uncharacterized. The record is from RefSeq and is a predicted model, not a curated record. Lineage: Eukaryota; Metazoa; Chordata; Mammalia; Carnivora; Phocidae.
CCCCUGCACCGUGAAGACAUUCCCUCGCUCCCUGAGCUGAGCAGCCGGCAGAGACAAAGGGGGCAAGCUCAGGAAGUGUAGGCUCGGCCAACUGCCUUAGUAAAUUACCUUUCAUGUUCUUAGGAGACGCUUCCAGGGCAUACUUCCCACUCUCUGCUACAAGAUGACGGAGAUGACGAGAUGACGUUGUGCCUACUCGCUUCACAGGAGAGUGUUGUCCUUGUUGGUGUUCUCCCAGCUGGCUUGCUCCACUUCCUCCAUGGUCUACACAGCAGGAUGGAGGAAGGGAUAGAAGGAAAUCAUACUCCUUCCCUUCAAGGGUAUGACCUAGAAGUUGCACAGCCGUUUGGCCAGAACUUAGUAUGUCCACACCCAGGGGCAAAGGAAUCUAAAUGAAAAUCUAAAAGAAAUGGAGUCUUGAUCUUGGACAACUCAAGUGAAAAUCCUAUUACUGUGAAAGAAGAAAUGAAUGGAUAUUGGGAAUUCGCCUGCCAUUACUGUUACGGAAGCAUUUCACCUAAAGCAAUA